RNAcentral lists this ribosomal RNA (262 nucleotides) under uncultured bacterium. RNAcentral's name for it is "partial 16S ribosomal RNA". It matches the Rfam family "Bacterial small subunit ribosomal RNA", at positions 793 to 1055 of the family's 1533-position model. The record is from RNAcentral.
GUCCACGCCCUAAACGAUGUCAACUGGUUGUUGGACGGCUUGCUGUUCAGUAACGAAGCUAACGCGUGAAGUUGACCGCCUGGGGAGUACGGCCGCAAGGUUGAACUCAAGGAAUUGACGGGGACCCGCACAAGCGGUGGAUGAUGUGGUUUAAUUCGAUGCAACGCGAAAACCUUAACCUACCCUUGACAUGUCAAGAAUUUUGCAGAGAUGUGAAAGUGCUCGAAAGAGAGCUUGAACACAGGUGCUGCAUGGCCGUCGU